UACGUAGGUCCCGAGCGUUGUCCGGAUUUAUUGGGCGUAAAGCGAGCGCAGGUGGUUUAUUAAGUCUGGUGUAAAAGGCAGUGGCUCAACCAUUGUAUGCAUUGGAAACUGUCAGUCUUGAGUACCGGAGAGGUCAUCGGAAUUCCUUGUGUAGCGGUGAAAUGCGUAGAUAUAAGGAAGAACACCAGUGGCGAAGGCGGAUGACUGGACGGCAACUGACGGUGAGGCGCGAAAGCGUAGGGAGCAAACAGG
Molecule: ribosomal RNA, 252 nt
Filed under: uncultured bacterium
Lineage: Bacteria
Description: partial 16S ribosomal RNA
Rfam family: Bacterial small subunit ribosomal RNA
Source: RNAcentral